CUGGUUUUAACUGUGCUGACACCGGGCAGUGGAACAUAUUUCUCCCCUCCUCUCAGUGGCUGUGGAUGACUGUCUUUAGGAUUAGUUCUUUAUGGAAGCCACAGCAAUGAACAAGACACAAUCCUGGACCCCAUGAGCUCACAGUGAGUGACAGCAGCCACUACAGUGUUAACGAAAGUUUAAUUCGGAGGCCAAUGGGCUGGGAUGGCCCCAGCACUUUUAGUUCCUAUGAACAACUUAUGAAAUUUUCUGUCUCACCUCUGAAGCCCUAGAGAAGUGCUACACUGCUUGCAGUCUGGUGCUGCCCAAUUUAUGAACUGCUGUCUGUUCAAAUAAACUCCACAGAAUUUUAA
Molecule: long non-coding RNA, 353 nt
Organism: Homo sapiens (human)
Lineage: Eukaryota; Metazoa; Chordata; Mammalia; Primates; Hominidae
Exons: 3
Source: RefSeq, a predicted model, not a curated record